CACCGCCUGGCUCCUGCCGCCCGGCUCGCGGGUCGGGUCGGCCGCCUGAGGUCAACCUUUGCGCGCCGCCUGAGGCCCGCUUUCCCCUUGGAGCAAGGUGGCGCAACAUCUGUUGGAAAAGAGAGAGCGCGGGUCGAGAGCUCAGUCAGUAUCUGUCAGCGCCUCCGGGGCCCGCACCUGAGGUGGAGAGCGGACGGGCUGACCCGGCGAACCGCGCUCUGGGAGCCGCGUCCUGCUGCAAGCGACGCGCACACGCCCGUGAAAUUAAUGGUUCAGAGAGCUGUCUGUGUGGAGGAAUGAAGCAGAGGAUCGAACUCGGGUCCUUGCACUUGUGCAGCAGGUGGCGAAACCACUGAGCUAAAUCCCCAGCCCCCAAUAAUCAAUCUUGACAUAGAGAGCCCAUCACUUCUUCCAUCGUCACGUCACUUC
Molecule: long non-coding RNA, 429 nt
Organism: Heterocephalus glaber (naked mole-rat)
Lineage: Eukaryota; Metazoa; Chordata; Mammalia; Rodentia; Bathyergidae
Source: Ensembl